UUCAAAAGCCACAAAGUGAUUUCCCAGAGCCUGGGGCAGUUGCAGGAGGAUUAGAAGACACUCAUGUAUUGGCACGCAGUGUGUGAACUUCAAAGGAAAAGUCUUUGAGUAAGGAAAGAGGAGAGAGAGUUUUCCAAGAUAAAACAGUGCACUUGGAGCAGGCCCUGGGAGGCUGCAGUCCAGAUGUGGCUUUCUGACGUGUUGCAUGGUGACAUGACAUCCUGCUGUGACAGAGAGAAGACGAGCCUCAAAAGAGAUGUGGAAUUAUCCAACUCAACAUUUGACGCCGCUUUAGUUUUCACAAGGACUUCAGGCUGAAUGGCAAACUGUCCCACAUCAGGGACAUGAAGUCCAUCAAGGAAGUUCCAGCAAGGAGAUGCUGAUCCUAAAUGCCUGUGCACCCCUGUGGAGACCAGCAGCAAGCUGACUGGGGUGCUGGAAAGCUGGGGGACAUCUCCACCUUUGAAAUGCAUCACUUCUAUGUUGGAGACCAGCUCUAGAGAGCAUACCCUGUGAUUCGGCAGGGCACUGGAUGUGCAUUACACAUGGUCUCCUGAAAUAUGUGACAGCCAGGAAUUGGGAAGGCCAUGCAGGAAAAGCUAGGCAGACUUAGAGUGCUAUAAUUCUGUGCCAAUGCUGAGGUUGAGUUCCCUGAAAUGUACAUAAAGGGAGGCUGUGCUUCCUAGAA
This is a long non-coding RNA of Cygnus olor (mute swan), 688 nucleotides long. RefSeq lists it as uncharacterized. Lineage: Eukaryota; Metazoa; Chordata; Aves; Anseriformes; Anatidae. The record is from RefSeq and is a predicted model, not a curated record. The transcript has 4 exons.